Molecule: unclassified non-coding RNA, 400 nt
Filed under: soil metagenome
Description: partial contains 5.8S ribosomal RNA, internal transcribed spacer 2, and large subunit ribosomal RNA
Rfam family: 5.8S ribosomal RNA (bases 1-121)
Source: RNAcentral
GAUGAAGAACGCAGCGAAAUGCGAUAAGUAAUGUGAAUUGCAGAAUUCAGUGAAUCAUCGAAUCUUUGAACGCACCUUGCGCCCUUUGGCUAUUCCGAAGGGCAUGCCUGUUUGAGUAUCGUGAACACCUCAACUCUCAUGGUUUGCCAUGAUGAGCUUGGACUUGGGGGUUUUGCUGGCCUUCGGUCGGCUCCUCUCAAACGGAUCAGCUUUCCAGUGUUUGGUGGCGUCACGGGUGUGAUAACUAUCUACGCCUGUGGUUUUCUGCCAGAUAACCUUCAGCGAUGGAGGUUCGCUGGGCUCAUAAAUGUCUCUCUUCAGUGGAGACAGCUUUUUGGACGUUUGAUCUCAAAUCAGGUAGGACUACCCGCUGAACUUAAGCAUAUCAAUAAGCGGAGGA